RNAcentral lists this non-coding RNA (97 nucleotides) under bovine gut metagenome. Its description in RNAcentral is "Pyrrolysine insertion sequence mttB". It matches the Rfam family "Pyrrolysine insertion sequence mttB". The record is from RNAcentral.
UAGGCUGACAGCAAGCUCAGCGACAUUCAGGCGGGUCACGAAAAGACAUUAACAGCUCUGUUGCCGGCGUUGGCAGGUGCCAACCUCAUCUACGGGC